Molecule: non-coding RNA, 737 nt
Organism: Camelina sativa (false flax)
Lineage: Eukaryota; Viridiplantae; Streptophyta; Magnoliopsida; Brassicales; Brassicaceae
Source: RefSeq, a predicted model, not a curated record
AAACUUUAUAUUUUUAAAUUUGUUGCAGCUGUUUAAGAUUAGUGAGGAAGUAGUGGUGGAUGCUACAGAAAAAGGGAAUAUCGCUCGACUAAUAAAUCAUUCGUGUAUGCCAAAUUGCUAUGCAAGGAUUAUGAGUGUAGGAGAUGACGAAAGUAGGAUUGUUCUGAUUGCCAAGACCACUGUAGCCUCUGGCGAGGAGUUAACAUAUGAUUAUUUGUUUGAUCCAGAUGAGGCAGAUGAAUUCAAAGUGCCAUGUCUAUGCAAAUCUAGCAACUGCAGAAAAUUCAUGAAUUAGAGAAAGUUGUAUGUAGCUGCUCUUACACAGAAGAAGAAGAAAGCAGGGCAAUGUUUGUCCUCAAUUACAACUAACCCAGGAAGCUUGAAUAGGAAACGUAUGGAGCUUAAAGCUGAUGUAACCUCUGAAUAAGACACUUCUAAGCUCCAAGGCAUUUGUUUUGUAGGUAUAGAGAGACUAGAGAGAAGUUCGUAGCGAAGUCCUUAUUUUAUGUAUAGCUAAAUUCCAAACUUUUUCCUUUUUUAGGGUUUCAAUAACUCAAAAGCUCAAAAAGCAAAAAAAUGAAAAACACUGCAAAGCAUUUUUUGUUUCUCUAAUGUGAUUUCUUUUAUUAUUUCUUUCGGCACGAAAUGGGUAAAGAUGGCACAAAACAAAAGGAACAUGAGAAGAAAAUAGAGAUAUGAAUUUUGAAAAGAAAAAAAAAUUGCAUUGGAAGUAAAAG